Molecule: long non-coding RNA, 978 nt
Filed under: Pongo abelii (Sumatran orangutan)
Lineage: Eukaryota; Metazoa; Chordata; Mammalia; Primates; Hominidae
Description: lncRNA (ENSPPYG00000031673.1)
Source: RNAcentral
GACUGCACUGCAGCUCUGAGCUGCCCCAGGAGCCCUGUGCACAGAGCCUGAGACCAUGUCAAGCCCAUCUGUCAAUCUGGAACAGCCCACCUCUCAAUCUACGGAAAGAGACCGGAACAGGGCAGGUGCCCACUCAGUGCUGAAAUGAUCAAGGAGUAAAUGAAGAAAGAGGCCCCUGAAAGGAAAAGAGCCCCGACCAGGCCCCCUGUUCCUGUGCAGCCCCAGGACUCUGUACCUCUGAAAGCUCUCACUUGCAAAGGUAAAAAUCCAUUUCCAAAGACAAGGAGCAUCGUGGGCCCAUUCUUGCUUGCUUUCUCUGAGACAGCGCAGAUCUGAGGGGGUGUCCAGGACAGUGAAGCCAUCAAAGAGCACGUGACAGGAAGGGGGAUGCUCGGCCUGGAGUGGGCAGAGGAAGACAACACGGGCCACGCGGGCGUCUCCACCUCUGCAGAAGCAGGAAGAAAGGAGCGGUCAGGCACAGCUGGGUUCCUCUUCCCGGCAAUGUGAUCUGGAGGAAAUGGUUUAACCUCCCAGACCUCCCCACAUCUGUAAAGCAGAGAGGACAGCAGCACUUGCCCGAUGCGGCCAUCUCGAAGACUUGCCACCCGCAGGAGGCACCGGAAACGGAACUGCCAGGACCCUUUUCUCAAGAUGGCGCCCAAGGUGGACCCUGAGCCAGGCCGCAUCCAGCAGGGAGCCCUGCGUGGACAGCAGGUGAAGCCCCGUGGAGAUGCCCAGGGAUCCAAAGGCGACGUCACUGAUGGCGAGGCUGCCCCCCUUGGUCUCUGGGUCUGCCACCGCUCUGACUUGGAGACAGACUAAUGGAUAUAAUACUGUUUACACUCGAGGCACUCAGAGUUUACACAGCUGUGGAAGCAGAACAUGGCAACUUUUAGAAAAUUAAGAAAAAGACACACCCCAAAUCAUCGCCAACCAGCGGGGACACAGCCCUCUGUAACCCCAAGCAGCAAUAUUCAC